AAGUUCUCGUGUUGCACCCAUUUUCUUUUUUUCAGAUGUGCCGUUCGACGUUACGCGUGACUUUAAUUAUGGUCCGCAGAUUUAUUCGCAAAUGUGAGUCACGGCGCAGUGGCAUUUUACUUAAUAUUUAAACGAGAACGAGAGGUGCAGUGCGCAUGCACAAGGAAACAAAUGACGGGAGCGGGAAGAAAGGAGAAGGAGUUUAUAUAUUUGCAGCGCGAAAUUAAACAGGUGCGAUCAUACCAGCACUAAUGCCCCGUAUCCCAUCAGAACUCCGCA
Molecule: long non-coding RNA, 279 nt
Filed under: Carica papaya (papaya)
Lineage: Eukaryota; Viridiplantae; Streptophyta; Magnoliopsida; Brassicales; Caricaceae
Description: long non-coding RNA (CPAP_LNC015500)
Source: RNAcentral